UGUUUUGUUUUUCCUUCGUUACUUUUUUUUCUUGUGGUCUAAAGUAAGAGGACAAAAUGGUCGCUCUCUCCCCUCUAACCACUUUCCUCAAGUCUUGUAUAAAAACUUUCAGGAACAUGUCACCUAAUCUGGUCACUCUUAUGCCCACAAGGGGAAAAACUAAAUGACACUCAGGUGCUAACUGAUGUCAGUGAUGUUCCUGUUCAAAUGGAGUCGGAGAUGAGAGACUGAUGAAUGUCAUAAAUGAGUCUGUCAAGCUUGUGAUGGAACAGGUAGGUUGUAAUUUCUACAAGUUUCCAAUUGAAAAAACUGCUGCAACUAUUGAUCUUAGGGAAAAAGAAAAAAGCAAUUUUAGAAGAUUUCUGUGGAAAAACUACUACAAUUCUACUCUUCUGUUUCCAAACCUCUCCUUGUUCUGUUGGUAGAUUAAGUUGGGGGCACUGUUAAAUAAUUUGGUACACUUAUAGUCAUGCCCAGUUGACUGAAAACUGGGGAAAUUUCUCCUUUUUAAUCACUUUUUUGCUGCAGGCUUAUGGUUAUAUAUCACCAGUUUUGUACUUCUCUGUUUUUGUAGAGAUGAAUAUUAUGCUCGGCUAGCUUGAUAACUCUGAACUCUGAGACCACCUUUUGCCAUUUGCCUAGGUUAUUUUCUAAAGUGUUUUUUUUUUAAACCUGAAUUCACGAAAUUUCGA
Molecule: non-coding RNA, 692 nt
Organism: Prunus mume (Japanese apricot)
Lineage: Eukaryota; Viridiplantae; Streptophyta; Magnoliopsida; Rosales; Rosaceae
Source: RefSeq, a predicted model, not a curated record